ACGCCCUAAACGAUGUCAACUAGUUGUUGGGAGGGUAAAACCUUUUAGUAACGUAGCUAACGCGUGAAGUUGACCGCCUGGGGAGUACGGCCGCAAGGUUAAAACUCAAAGGAAUUGACGGGGACCCGCACAAGCGGUGGGUGAUGUGGAUUAAUUCGAUGCAACGCGAAAAACCUUACCUACCCUUGACAUGCCAGGAACUUGCCAGAGAUGGCUUGGUGCCCGAAAGGGAGCCUGGACACAGGUGCUGCAUGGCUGUCGUCAGCUCGUGUCGUGAGAUGUUGGGUUAAGUCCCGCAACGAGCGCAACCCUUGUCGUUAAUUGCCAUCAUUUAGUUGGGCACUUUAACGAGACUGCCGGUGACAAACCGGAGGAAGGUGGGGAUGACGUCAAGUCCUCAUGGCCCUUAUGGGUAGGGCUUCACACGUCAUACAAUGGUCGGUACAGAGGGUUGCCAAGCCGCGAGGUGGAGCCAAUCCCAGAAAGCCGAUCGUAGUCCGGAUUGUAGGCUGCAACUCGCCUGCAUGAAGUCGGAAUCGCUAGUAAUCGCGGAUCAGCAUGUCGCGGUGAAUACGUUCCCGGGUCUUGUACACACCGCCCGUCACACCAUGGGAGCGGGUUCCGCCAGAAGUGGGUAGCCUAACCGCAAGGAGGGCGCUUACCACGGCGGGGUUCGUGACUGGGGUGAAG
This 690-nucleotide ribosomal RNA is filed under the name uncultured bacterium. Its description in RNAcentral is "bacterial SSU rRNA". It matches the Rfam family "Bacterial small subunit ribosomal RNA", at positions 797 to 1485 of the family's 1533-position model. The record is from RNAcentral.